Molecule: ribosomal RNA, 497 nt
Filed under: uncultured bacterium
Lineage: Bacteria
Description: partial 16S ribosomal RNA
Rfam family: Bacterial small subunit ribosomal RNA
Source: RNAcentral
GAUGAACGCUGGCGGCGUGCCUAAUACAUGCAAGUCGAGCGAACGGACGAGAAGCUUGCUUCUCUGAUGUUAGCGGCGGACGGGUGAGUAACACGUGGAUAACCUACCUAUAAGACUGGGAUAACUUCGGGAAACCGGAGCUAAUACCGGAUAAUAUUUUGAACCGCAUGGUUCAACAGUAAAAGACGGUCUUGCUGUCACUUAUAGAUGUAUCCGCGCUGCAUUAGCUAGUUGGUAAGGUAACGGCUUACCAAGGCAACGAUGCAUAGCCGACCUGAGAGGGUGAUCGGCCACACUGGAACUGAGACACGGUCCAGACUCCUACGGGAGGCAGCAGUAGGGAAUCUUCCGCAAUGGGCGAAAGCCUGACGGAGCAACGCCGCGUGUGUGAUGAAGGUCUUCGGAUCGUAAAACUCUGUUAUUAGGGAGGAACAUAAGUAUAAGUAAAUGUGCACAUCUUGACGGUACCUAAUCAGAAAGCCACGGCUAACUACGUG